This 253-nucleotide ribosomal RNA is filed under the name uncultured bacterium. Its description in RNAcentral is "partial 16S ribosomal RNA". It matches the Rfam family "Bacterial small subunit ribosomal RNA", at positions 524 to 776 of the family's 1533-position model. The record is from RNAcentral.
UACGUAGGGGGCAAGCGUUGUCCGGAUUUACUGGGCGUAAAGAGCGUGUAGGCGGCCUGGCAGGUCAGCUGUGAAAACUCGAGGCUCAACCUCGAGACGUCGGUUGAAACCACCUGGCUAGAGUCCGGAAGAGGAGUGUGGAAUUCCCGGUGUAGCGGUGAAAUGCGCAGAUAUCAGGAAGAACACCCGUGGCGAAGGCGGCUCUCUGGGACGGUACUGACGCUGAGACGCGAAAGCGUGGGGAGCGAACAGG